AGUGAACGCUGGCGGUAGGCCUAACACAUGCAAGUCGAACGGCAGCACAGAGGAGCUUGCUCCUUGGGUGGCGAGUGGCGGACGGGUGAGGAAUACAUCGGAAUCUACUCUGUCGUGGGGGAUAACGUAGGGAAACUUACGCUAAUACCGCAUACGACCUACGGGCGAAAGCAGGGGACCUUCGGGCCUUGCGCGAUUGCAUGAGCCGAUGUCGGAUUAGCUAGUUGGCGGGGUAAAGGCCCACCAAGGCGACGAUCCGUAGCUGGUCUGAGAGGAUGAUCAGCCACACUGGAACUGAGACACGGUCCAGACUCCUACGGGAGGCAGCAGUGGGGAAUAUUGGACAAUGGGCGCAAGCCUGAUCCAGCCAUACCGCGUGGGUGAAGAAGGCCUUCGGGUUGUAAAGCCCUUUUGUUGGGAAAGAAAUCCAGCUGGCUAAUACCCGGUUGGGAUGACGGUACCCAAAGAAUAAGCACCGGCUAACUUCGUGCCAGCCGCCGCAGUAA
This 506-nucleotide ribosomal RNA is filed under the name uncultured bacterium. RNAcentral's name for it is "partial 16S ribosomal RNA". It matches the Rfam family "Bacterial small subunit ribosomal RNA", at positions 29 to 523 of the family's 1533-position model. The record is from RNAcentral.